Non-coding RNA from Citrus sinensis (sweet orange), 100 nucleotides. The record is from Rfam. Lineage: Eukaryota; Viridiplantae; Streptophyta; Magnoliopsida; Sapindales; Rutaceae.
GUUGCUCACUCUCCCUCAAGGGCUUCUGGCGUUAAUUAAUGACAAUUAUUAAUGCUUGCAGCUGCCUGCCAGGCCUGAGGCCGUUGGGGAGAGUGGACAA